This 89-nucleotide non-coding RNA is filed under the name Targowskia paracuniculus. The record is from RNAcentral. Lineage: Bacteria; Pseudomonadati; Pseudomonadota; Gammaproteobacteria; Pasteurellales; Pasteurellaceae.
UUCAAUGGUGGUGCGUAAUGGGAAAGGUUCGCCCUUUGCUGAUUUUCCUUUGGUAUCAGUUUCUCAGCCCGUUACGCACUACCGCCCAA